GCAAAGAGCGGCAGGGGAGCUGAGCGGUGGUGGAGGGAGGUGGAGUUUCCGGUCCCACCUCGUCACGCUCGCUCGGGGGAUGCUCGAGGGCUCCCGGGAGGGCGCGGGGAGCGGGUUUUGGCGGAGGUGCUGAAGUUGAUCCUGCUGUAGGGUGGGCAGGGGCUAAAGGUACAGCCAAAGGGCUGUGGCGCCGCGUCCCUCCUUCCCCUGGUGAAGCUGUGGCGCCCCUGCCUGCUGGAGCGCUCGAUGGGUCCUACAGAUCAGUGGCCGCUCUUGCCUCCCUUCUGCCCCUGCGCUUCCCCUUCGCGCUGCUGAGAGCUGCUUCGCUUGUUGUUGUUUGGGUUUUUUUCCCUUUCUGUGGCCACAAAGAACAGGAACCUCUUUUCUUUCUGUAUCUCUGUUUGUUUUCUUGUUUGUUUGUUUUCUUGUUUGUUUUGAAGGUGUGUUGUUGGGCGAGUGCUGGGAUUUCCCCCGCUGGAGAAGGGCCGGGGUGAGGGCUGUGAGGGUCCCACUGCCGCUCUCAGAGGCGGUCAGGGAGCAGGUUAUGCCAGUUGGAUUUUAAAUCUAUCGAACGUGAUUACUGAGCAGUGAAAUCUAUGAAGAGUGUAGUCAGUUAAGCCAAAAAGCAGCAAGUACAUAAUCUACUCAGAAAUCUCAGUAGGAUAAAUGGGGGAAACUUGCAGAAUUUAUCAUGUAUGAAUGUUAAACAACUACAGUUCUGGAAGAGUACUUGGAACAAGACAAUUUGGGGCAGUAAAUAAAACCUUUAAAAGUAUUCAAGAAAUGCAGUGAUUUCAUAAACGCUCUUAUGGAAAAUGUGUUCAACUCCAGGUCCUCUUGUGCUACUGUGUAAUGGCAGAGCUAGCAGAAGGCUGUAAUAUCAUCACAUGCAAUUGUACCAAUAACCUCUAAAGGAGGAAGAAAGGAAUUGAAGAACAGGCUGAAUUAUCAUGGAGAACAGUGAGAGAAAGGUGAUGUAAGCAGACUUUUGAUUCCAUAGGAGUAUGUCUAAUACAAAAGAAUAAUAAAUAGAAGACCUGAGCUCACUUUUCUAUGGAGCAUUCCAUCUGGAACAACUUUCUUGGUUAUAACACUGCUGUGGGCUUGUGGCUGCUGGAAUGCAUGGUAGCAGUGGACUGAGAAGCCAUGGUGGUCAGCUGUGGUAUGUGAAAUUCACUGUGCAAAAACUUGCUGUUUCUGAUUAUUUCAGAUCAGUUUGGCAUUGGACAACUGGCUGUUGAGAGCAGCUCAGGUGGGAAACUAGUUUGCAAAAGAUAUUUAUUGCAACAUCUUGGGAACCUUCUCAUUGCCCAACACUUACUGCUUUCAUUUUGUGCAUAGUAAGUUUCCAAAACACAUGAGUUUCUUUAAGUGGGCAUGUACUUUUUAUUUCUUAUUUCCUAGUGCCAAUGCAAAUGCUUCAACUUCCCUUUGUGGGAGAUAUUUUCAUACAAUUGAGUAUGCAGAGUGGAAGUGUUGCAUCAUACAGAAGUAUCUGGAACCACAGAAGUCUACUGGAAUGGAUAAUAAAGCAUGGCCACUGUGCCACUGUCAAUUGUGAUGAGAUGGUUCCUUGUUACUGUGUGAGACUGGAUGUACCACUUUCUGGGCUGUAAGCCUAUUUACUGGGCAUUUAGACAUUGGAAAGAAAUGCUAUGAAUGUGAAUGCAAACUGUCACAGUAAAAUAUCUGUUAGAGUCCAGAAAAUGAAGCUAGAAAGGGUUCAUCUUAACUUGGUGUCAAAGGCAAGGCCAAUUGAAAUUCAUUUAAUGUAGUCAUCUUAACACAUGUAUUAAUAGAGAAGGAUAGUACCGUUGUGCUAUUUCUACGCUGUUUUCAAACUGGUUUGUCUCCAUUUCCUGGCUGCGUGACUUUGAAAGAACUUAUAAAUAUGUUGCUUGAGCUGAGGUGCUCGUUUUG
This is a long non-coding RNA of Cuculus canorus (common cuckoo), 1920 nucleotides long. RefSeq lists it as uncharacterized. The record is from RefSeq and is a predicted model, not a curated record. Lineage: Eukaryota; Metazoa; Chordata; Aves; Cuculiformes; Cuculidae. The transcript is spliced from 3 exons.